RNAcentral lists this ribosomal RNA (566 nucleotides) under Flavobacterium sp. FlavoEI_T110^3EB2_G08_63. RNAcentral describes it as "bacterial SSU rRNA". It matches the Rfam family "Bacterial small subunit ribosomal RNA", at positions 64 to 634 of the family's 1533-position model. The record is from RNAcentral. Lineage: Bacteria; Pseudomonadati; Bacteroidota; Flavobacteriia; Flavobacteriales; Flavobacteriaceae.
GGGGUAUUAGUUUUCGGACUAGAGACCGGCGCACGGGUGCGUAACGCGUAUGCAAUCUACCUUUUACAGAGGGAUAGCCCAGAGAAAUUUGGAUUAAUACCUCAUAGUAUAAUGACUCGGCAUCGAGAUAUUAUUAAAGUCACAACGGUAAAAGAUGAGCAUGCGUCCCAUUAGCUAGUUGGUAAGGUAACGGCUUACCAAGGCUACGAUGGGUAGGGGUCCUGAGAGGGAGAUCCCCCACACUGGUACUGAGACACGGACCAGACUCCUACGGGAGGCAGCAGUGAGGAAUAUUGGACAAUGGGCGCAAGCCUGAUCCAGCCAUGCCGCGUGCAGGAUGACGGUCCUAUGGAUUGUAAACUGCUUUUAUACGAGAAGAAACACUGCUUCGUGAAGCAGCUUGACGGUAUCGUAAGAAUAAGGAUCGGCUAACUCCGUGCCAGCAGCCGCGGUAAUACGGAGGAUCCAAGCGUUAUCCGGAAUCAUUGGGUUUAAAGGGUCCGUAGGCGGUUUAAUAAGUCAGUGGUGAAAGCCCAUCGCUCAACGGUGGAACGGCCAUUGAUACU